RNAcentral lists this ribosomal RNA (467 nucleotides) under uncultured bacterium. Its description in RNAcentral is "partial 16S ribosomal RNA". It matches the Rfam family "Bacterial small subunit ribosomal RNA", at positions 28 to 507 of the family's 1533-position model. The record is from RNAcentral.
GACGAACGCUGGCGGCGUGCUUAACACAUGCAAGUCGAGCGAUGAAGCCCAGCUUGCUGGGUGGAUGGAUGGCGAACGGGUGAGUAACAAAUGAGCAACGUACCCGAAACUCUGGGAUAACUACCGGAAACGGACGCAAGUAAAGAAUGUAUGAAAGCGAGACAUCUACUCUGGAUGGUAAAAUUUUUCGGUUUCGGAUCGCCUCACGGCUUAUCAGCUUGUUGGGGGGGUAAUGGCCUACAAAGGCGACGACGGGUAGCCGGCCUGAGAGGGUGACCGGCCCCACUGGGACUGAGGCACGGCCCAGACGCCUACGGGAGGAAGCAGUGGGAGAUAUUGCACACUGGGCGCAAGCAUGAUGCAGCAACGCCGCGUCAGAGAUGUCUGCCUUCGGGUUGUAACCCUCUUGUAGUAGGGAAGAAGCGCAAGUGACGGUACCUGCAGAAAAAGCACCGGCUAACUACGUG